RNAcentral lists this transfer RNA (73 nucleotides) under Planctomycetota bacterium. Its description in RNAcentral is "tRNA-Ala". It matches the Rfam family "tRNA". From Rfam's summary of the family: Transfer RNA (tRNA) molecules are approximately 80 nucleotides in length. RNAcentral also lists the same sequence under 2 other names. Lineage: Bacteria; Pseudomonadati; Planctomycetota. The record is from RNAcentral.
GGGGCCAUAGCUCAGCUGGGAGAGCGCUUGCAUGGCAUGCAAGAGGUCGUGGGUUCGAAUCCCAUUGGCUCCA